AGUGAACGCUGGCGGUAGGCCUAACACAUGCAAGUCGAACGGCAGCACAGUAAGAGCUUGCUCUUACGGGUGGCGAGUGGCGGACGGGUGAGGAAUACAUCGUAAUCUACUUUUUCGUGGGGGAUAACGUAGUGAAACUUACGCUAAUACCGCAUACGCCCUACGGGUGAAAUCAGGGGAUCUUCGGACCUUGUGCGAUUGAAUGAGCCGAUGUCGGAUUAGCUAGUUGUCGGGGUAAAGGCCCACCAAGGCGACGAUCCGUAGCUGGUCUGAGAGGAUGGUCAGCCACACUGGAAGUGAGACACGGUCCAGACUCCUACGGGAGGCAGCAGUGGGGAAUAUUGGACAAUGGGCGCAAGCAUGAUCCAGCCAUACCGCGUGGGUGAAGAAGGCCUUCGGGUUGUAAAGCCCUUUUGUUGGGAAAGAAAAGCAGCAGGUUAAUACCCCGCUGUUCUGACGGUACCCAAAGAAUAAGCACCGGCUAACUUCGUG
RNAcentral lists this ribosomal RNA (492 nucleotides) under uncultured bacterium. RNAcentral's name for it is "partial 16S ribosomal RNA". It matches the Rfam family "Bacterial small subunit ribosomal RNA", at positions 29 to 507 of the family's 1533-position model. The record is from RNAcentral.